AUUUGCUCUACGAUCCAAGAUGUUGACUUAAAGUUAUACAGAAUUAUGAGUAAAAUGAUAUUAAGUUACAUUACUUUUCUAUGCUUUAUGAGAACGAAGAAGCAGGAACACUGCAAAAAUAAUCCGAGCCACCAAAGACUUUUGAAGCAAUCUUUUUGUCACUUGCCAUAACUGGGAAGGUUAUACGUAAAAAGACAAUGUGUUCCCAGCAUACCAGGCAGACAAAUUGGAUACAGAACAAACUGAUAGUUCCAUUAAUAUUCUAAGAUUGCCAUCCUUUCAGUAGAAGGAGAUACUGUACAGGAGCUUCCGUCUGUGCUGUUUCUCAAAAUUAUUGAUGAUAUCAUCAAUUGCAUCCUCCCAAUUUUCAGUCGCAUCAAGUUCCUGACACAAUAUCAAAGCAAGACGGCCUCCAAUUGCUGCCUCCUCAUGGUUAUCUUUUACUUCUAAAUUGAUAACAAGAACCGGCUUCAAGAGAACUUGGUUUCUGUUAUGAAGAUCUUCAAGCACCAAAUCAAAGACUUUUUCUUCAAAUGUAAUUACAACAUCGAAGGGACCAUCAGCAGCAUUAUCCUGCCAACGUUGAGGUGCAAGCUUUACACCCAAGUUCCUUUUCAGCAUAGGCAGUAUUCCAUUUCGUUUGUACAGUUCGACGUCUUUGCGGCGGAGGUCAUCGAACAUCUGCUUAUAAGGAGUGCCGAAGUCGUAAACAUUUGGUUCCCUAAUAGAAGGACCAGGAAGCUUUACAUGUUGCCCAGUGCCAUAUGAGGCCACAUCAAAUCCCUCCCUUUUCAGUAGACAAUGUGACUCCAUGCUCCGAUUCUGAUUCGACGAGCACACCAUUGCAUACCGGAGCUUCAUAACUGAUUCCGGCAGUGCUACUCUUGUAUUCCAGAUGAGACGAAUUCGUCGAUAGCUACACGUUCUGGAAUUUGCGCCGGCGUCCAGUAGAAGAGGAGAACUUCAAUUCUUGAGCAGAGAUUUUAGUAGGAGUAGUAAACGUGUUUUUGGUGA
RNAcentral lists this unclassified non-coding RNA (1014 nucleotides) under Hevea brasiliensis (rubber tree). Lineage: Eukaryota; Viridiplantae; Streptophyta; Magnoliopsida; Malpighiales; Euphorbiaceae. The record is from RNAcentral.